Molecule: ribosomal RNA, 1372 nt
Filed under: uncultured bacterium
Lineage: Bacteria
Description: bacterial SSU rRNA
Rfam family: Bacterial small subunit ribosomal RNA
Source: RNAcentral
GAUGAACGCUGGCGGCGUGCCUAAUACAUGCAAGUCGAGCGAACGGACGAGAAGCUUGCUUCUCUGAUGUUAGCGGCGGACGGGUGAGUAACACGUGGAUAACCUACCUAUAAGACUGGGAUAACUUCGGGAAACCGGAGCUAAUACCGGAUAAUAUUUUGAACCGCAUGGUUCAAAAGUGAAAGACGGUCUUACUGUCACUUAUAGAUGGAUCCGCGCUGCAUUAGCUAGUUGGUAAGGUAACGGCUUACCAAGGCAACGAUGCAUAGCCGACCUGAGAGGGUGAUCGGCCACACUGGAACUGAGACACGGUCCAGACUCCUACGGGAGGCAGCAGUAGGGAAUCUUCCGCAAUGGGCGAAAGCCUGACGGAGCAACGCCGCGUGAGUGAUGAAGGUCUUCGGAUCGUAAAACUCUGUUAUUAGAGAAGAACAUAUGUGUAAGUAACUGUGCACAUCUUGACGGUACCUAAUCAGAAAGCCACGGCUAACUACGUGCCAGCAGCCGCGGUAAUACGUAGGUGGCAAGCGUUAUCCGGAAUUAUUGGGCGUAAAGCGCGCGUAGGCGGUUUUUUAAGUCUGAUGUGAAAGCCCACGGCUCAACCGUGGAGGGUCAUUGGAAACUGGAAAACUUGAGUGCAGAAGAGGAAAGUGGAAUUCCAUGUGUAGCGGUGAAAUGCGCAGAGAUAUGGAGGAACACCAGUGGCGAAGGCGACUUUCUGGUCUGUAACUGACGCUGAUGUGCGAAAGCGUGGGGAUCAAACAGGAUUAGAUACCCUGGUAGUCCACGCCGUAAACGAUGAGUGCUAAGUGUUAGGGGGUUUCCGCCCCUUAGUGCUGCAGCUAACGCAUUAAGCACUCCGCCUGGGGAGUACGACCGUAAGGUUGAAACUCAAAGGAAUUGACGGGGACCCGCACAAGCGGUGGAGCAUGUGGUUUAAUUCGAAGCAACGCGAAGAACCUUACCAAAUCUUGACAUCCUUUGACAACUCUAGAGAUAGAGCCUUCCCCUUCGGGGGACAAAGUGACAGGUGGUGCAUGGUUGUCGUCAGCUCGUGUCGUGAGAUGUUGGGUUAAGUCCCGCAACGAGCGCAACCCUUAAGCUUAGUUGCCAUCAUUAAGUUGGGCACUCUAAGUUGACUGCCGGUGACAAACCGGAGGAAGGUGGGGAUGACGUCAAAUCAUCAUGCCCCUUAUGAUUUGGGCUACACACGUGCUACAAUGGACAAUACAAAGGGCAGCGAAACCGCGAGGUCAAGCAAAUCCCAUAAAGUUGUUCUCAGUUCGGAUUGUAGUCUGCAACUCGACUACAUGAAGCUGGAAUCGCUAGUAAUCGUAGAUCAGCAUGCUACGGUGAAUACGUUCCCGGGUCU